Molecule: ribosomal RNA, 422 nt
Filed under: uncultured archaeon
Lineage: Archaea
Description: bacterial SSU rRNA
Rfam family: Archaeal small subunit ribosomal RNA
Source: RNAcentral
CAGCCGCCGCGGUAAAACCAGCACCUCAAGUGGUCAGGAGGAUUAUUGGGCCUAAAGCAUCCGUAGCCGGUUCUGUAAGUUUCCGGUUAAAUCCACUAGCUCAACUAAUGGGCUGCCGGAAAUACUGCAGAACUAGGGAGUGGGAGAGGUAGACGGUACUCGGUAGGAAGGGGUAAAAUCCUUUGAUCUAUUGAUGACCACCUGUGGCGAAGGCGGUCUACCAGAACACGUUCGACGGUGAGGGAUGAAAGCUGGGGGAGCAAACCGGAUUAGAUACCCGGGUAGUCCCAGCUGUAAACUAUGCAAACUCAGUGAUGCAUUGGCUUAUGGCCAAUGCAGUGCUGCAGGGAAGCCGUUAAGUUUGCCGCCUGGGAAGUACGUACGCAAGUAUGAAACUUAAAGGAAUUGGCGGGGGAGCACCA